UACGGAGGGUGCUAGCGUUGUUCGGAAUCACUGGGCGUAAAGGGCGUGUAGGCGGUCUGUUAAGUCUGAUGUGAAAUCCCCUCGCUCAACGAGGGAACUGCGUCGGAUACUGGCAGACUUGAGUACCGGAGAGGAAGGUGGAAUUCCCGGUGUAGCGGUGAAAUGCGUAGAUAUCAGGAGGAACACCGGUGGCGAAGGCGGCAUCCUGGACCGAGAUUGACGCUGAGGCGCGAAAGCUAGGGUAGCAAACGGG
RNAcentral lists this ribosomal RNA (253 nucleotides) under uncultured bacterium. RNAcentral describes it as "partial 16S ribosomal RNA". It matches the Rfam family "Bacterial small subunit ribosomal RNA", at positions 524 to 776 of the family's 1533-position model. The record is from RNAcentral.